RNAcentral lists this ribosomal RNA (157 nucleotides) under Colletotrichum acutatum. RNAcentral's name for it is "5.8S ribosomal RNA". The stretch from base 1 to 103 matches the Rfam family "5.8S ribosomal RNA", at positions 52 to 154 of the family's 154-position model. From Rfam's summary of the family: 5.8S ribosomal RNA (5.8S rRNA) is a component of the large subunit of the eukaryotic ribosome. It is transcribed by RNA polymerase I as part of the 45S precursor that also contains 18S and 28S rRNA. Functionally, it is thought that 5.8S rRNA may be involved in ribosome translocation. The record is from RNAcentral. Lineage: Eukaryota; Fungi; Ascomycota; Sordariomycetes; Glomerellales; Glomerellaceae.
AAUGCGAUAAGUAAUGUGAAUUGCAGAAUUCAGUGAAUCAUCGAAUCUUUGAACGCACAUUGCGCUCGCCAGCAUUCUGGCGAGCAUGCCUGUUCGAGCGUCAUUUCAACCCUCAAGCACCGCUUGGUUUUGGGGCCCCACGGCACACGUGGGCCCU